This 253-nucleotide ribosomal RNA is filed under the name uncultured bacterium. RNAcentral's name for it is "partial 16S ribosomal RNA". It matches the Rfam family "Bacterial small subunit ribosomal RNA", at positions 524 to 776 of the family's 1533-position model. The record is from RNAcentral.
UACGUAGGGUGCAAGCGUUGUCCGGAAUUAUUGGGCGUAAAGAGCUCGUAGGCGGUCUGUCGCGUCGAAUGUGAAAACCCGGGGCUCAACCCCGGGCCUGCAUUCGAUACGGGCAGACUAGAGUUCGGUAGGGGAGUCUGGAAUUCCUGGUGUAGCGGUGAAAUGCGCAGAUAUCAGGAGGAACACCGGUGGCGAAGGUGGGACUCUGGGCCGAUACUGACGCUGAGGAGCGAAAGCGUGGGGAGCAAACAGG